Molecule: ribosomal RNA, 784 nt
Filed under: uncultured fungus
Lineage: Eukaryota; Fungi
Description: eukaryotic LSU rRNA
Rfam family: Eukaryotic large subunit ribosomal RNA (bases 478-784)
Source: RNAcentral
CAUUAGAAGAGUUGAAAACUCCCUAAACCCACUGUAAACCUACCUAUAUCGUUGCUUCGGCGGGCGGCCCCAGGGCGGGGCCUUUCACAGGUGUCCGCUGACGGCCCCUAUAAACUCUUGUUUUUUGGGCACUCUGAGUGAGAUUAAAUGAGUUAAAACUUUCAACAACGGAUCUCUUGGUUCUGGCAUCGAUGAAGAACGCAGCGAAAUGCGAUAAGUAAUGUGAAUUGCAGAAUUCCAGUGAAUCAUCGAAUCUUUGAACGCACAUUGCGCCCAUUGGCAUUCUAAUGGGCAUGCCUGUCCGAGCGUCAUUUCAGUCACUCAGGCCUAUACAGCCUGGCGUUGGGGCAUCUACAGUUGAGUGUAGGCUCUGAAAGAUAGUGGCGGUGUUCGCUAGCACUCCGGGCGCAGUACAUUUCCUUCGCCUAGGACGUCUCGCGGGCUGCCGGCCGUAAAACAGCUUGAAGCUUAGAAGGUUGACCUCGGAUCAGGUAGGAUUACCCGCUGAACUUAAGCAUAUCAAUAAGCGGAGGAAAAGAAACCAACAGGGAUUGCCUCAGUAACGGCGAGUGAAGCGGCAACAGCUCAAAUUUGAAAUCUGGCCUCGGGCCCGAGUUGUAAUUUGUAGAGGAUGCUUUCGGCGUCGGCGCCUUCAGAGUUCCCUGGAAUGGGACGCCAUAGAGGGUGAGAGCCCCGUACGGUGGGAUGCCUAGCCUCUGUAAAGCUCCUUCGACGAGUCGAGUAGUUUGGGAAUGCUGCUCAAAAUGGGAGGUAAAUUUCUUCU